RNAcentral lists this ribosomal RNA (796 nucleotides) under Liebetanzomyces polymorphus. Its description in RNAcentral is "LSU rRNA". It matches the Rfam family "Eukaryotic large subunit ribosomal RNA", at positions 35 to 681 of the family's 3401-position model. The record is from RNAcentral. Lineage: Eukaryota; Fungi; Neocallimastigomycota; Neocallimastigomycetes.
UAAGCAUAUCAAUAAGCGGAGGAAAAGAAACUAACAAGGAUUCCCCUAGUAACGGCGAGUGAAGCGGGAAGAGCUCAAAUUUGAAAUCUUAAAGGGUUUCCCUUUACGAAUUGUAGUUUAAAGAAGUGUUUUCUGUUGGAGUUUCGGUAAAAGUUCUUUGGAAUAGGACAUCAUAGAGGGUGAGAAUCCCGUAUUUGACCGUUACUUUCCAGCUGUGUGAUACACUUUCAAAGAGUCGGAUUGUUUGGGAAUGCAGUCCAAAAUGGGUGGUAAAUUUCAUCUAAAGCUAAAUAUUGGCGAGAGACCGAUAGCGAACAAGUACCGUGAGGGAAAGAUGAAAAGAACUUUGAAAAGAGAGUUAAACAGUACGUGAAAUUGUCAAAAGGGAAGCGUUUGACACCAGUGUUGUUUAGUUGAAAAUCAAUUUAAUAAUUUUUGAUUUUAAGUAGUAUUGACUUCAUCAGCUUGCUGCUUUUUUCUCAGAUAUUAUUGAAUGCACUUUUCAGUUAACAAGUCAACAUCAAUUUCUUUUGUUGUAAAAGGGUAAGAGGAAGGUGGCUUGCGCUUCGGCUCAAGUGUUUAUAGCCUUUUACCUCUGCAAUCGGAGAGAUUGAGGUCUGCAGCGUAGAUCCUUCGGGGUUAGAUACAUUGGUGCUAAGCUAUAGCCUUGUAUAGACAACUUGUUGACUAUGCUCAGUCAUGUAGCUUACUCGCUGAUGCUAUUUUACCUACGCUUAGGAUGUUGACAAAAUGGUUUUAAACGACCCGUCUUGAACACCGGACCAAAACCCACCCC